Molecule: transfer RNA, 63 nt
Filed under: Curculionoidea sp. 20 KM-2017
Lineage: Eukaryota; Metazoa; Arthropoda; Insecta; Coleoptera
Description: tRNA-His
Source: RNAcentral
ACUAGAAUAAUUUAAUUAAAAUAUCAAUUUGUGGAGUUGAAUAUGUAGGGCUUACUUCUAGUA